Molecule: ribosomal RNA, 228 nt
Filed under: uncultured bacterium
Lineage: Bacteria
Description: partial 16S ribosomal RNA
Rfam family: Bacterial small subunit ribosomal RNA
Source: RNAcentral
UACGUAGGUGGCAAGCGUUGUCCGGAUUUACUGGGCGUAAAGAGCGCGCAGGCGGUCGUUCAAGUCGCGUGUGAAAGCCCCCGGCUCAACUGGGGAGGGUCACGCGAUACUGAUCGACUCGAAGGCAGGAGAGGGUAGUGGAAUUCCCGGUGUAGUGGUGAAAUGCGUAGAUAUCGGGAGGAACACCAGUGGCGAAGGCGACUACCUGGCCUGUUUCUUGACGCUGGA